RNAcentral lists this ribosomal RNA (621 nucleotides) under Lutjanus fulviflamma (dory snapper). RNAcentral's name for it is "partial large subunit ribosomal RNA". It matches the Rfam family "Bacterial large subunit ribosomal RNA", at positions 1796 to 2620 of the family's 2925-position model. The record is from RNAcentral. Lineage: Eukaryota; Metazoa; Chordata; Actinopteri; Lutjaniformes; Lutjanidae.
UCGCCUGUUUUAUCAAAAACAUCGCCUCUUGCAAAAUCAAUGAAUAAGAGGUCCCGCCUGCCCUGUGACUAUAAGUUUAACGGCCGCGGUAUUUUGACCGUGCGAAGGUAGCGCAAUCACUUGUCUUUUAAAUGGAGACCUGUAUGAAUGGCAUAACGAGGGCUUAGCUGUCUCCUAUUUCCAGUCAAUGAAAUUGAUCUCCCCGUGCAGAAGCGGGGAUACACACAUAAGACGAGAAGACCCUAUGGAGCUUUAGACACCAAGACAGACCAUGUUAAACAACCCAAAACAAAGGACCAAACCAAAUGAUCCCUGUCCUAAUGUCUUUGGUUGGGGCGACCGCGGGGAAACACAAAACCCCCAUGUGGAACGAGAACACCUCCUCUCACAACCAAGAGCUCCCGCUCUAGUAAACAGAAAUUCUGACCAAUCAGAUCCGGCAUAAGCCGAUCAACGGACCGAGUUACCCUAGGGAUAACAGCGCAAUCCCCUUUUAGAGGCCAUAUCGACAAGGGGGUUUACGACCUCGAUGUUGGAUCAGGACAUCCUAAUGGUGCAGCCGCUAUUAAGGGUUCGUUUGUUCAACGAUUAAAGUCCUACGUGAUCUGAGUUCAGACCGGA